GAGGAAUAUUGCGCAAUGGAGGAAACUCUGACGCAGCCACGCCGCGUGCAGGAAGACACCCCUCAGGGGCGUAAACUGCUUUUGUAUGGGAAGAACACCCUCUUUCGGGAGGGUCUGACGGUACCAUACGAAUAAGGACCGGCUAACUCCGUGCCAGUAGCCGCGGUAAUACGGAGGGUCCAAGCGUUGUCCGGAAUCACUGGGUGUAAAGGGUGCGCAGGCGGGCGUGUAAGUCAGGGGUGAAAGCCACCGGCCUAACCGGUGAACUGCCCUUGAUACUGCACGUCUUGAAUCCAAGAGAGGCUAUCGGAAUUCGUGGUGUAGCGGUGAAAUGCGUAAAUAUCACGAGG
RNAcentral lists this ribosomal RNA (350 nucleotides) under uncultured bacterium. RNAcentral's name for it is "bacterial SSU rRNA". It matches the Rfam family "Bacterial small subunit ribosomal RNA", at positions 356 to 704 of the family's 1533-position model. The record is from RNAcentral.